Molecule: ribosomal RNA, 497 nt
Filed under: uncultured bacterium
Lineage: Bacteria
Description: partial 16S ribosomal RNA
Rfam family: Bacterial small subunit ribosomal RNA
Source: RNAcentral
GGGGGGGGGGGGGGGGGGGGGUGGGGGCGGGAGGGCGGGCGCGGAGACGAGGGGCUGGCUGCUCUGAGGUUAGGGGCGGACGGGUGAGUAACACGGGGAUGACCUCCCUAUAAGACUGUGAUAACUUCCGGAACCCGGGGCUAAUCCCGGCUAAUCUAUUGACCCGCAUGGUUCCAUUGUGAAAGACGGUGUUGCUGUCACUUAUAGAUUGGUCCGCGCCGCAUUAGCUAGUUGGUAAGUUAACGGGUUACCAAGGCAACGAUGCGUAGCCGACCUGAGAGGGUGAUCGGCCACACUGGAACUGAGACACGGUCCAGACUCCUACGGGAGGCAGCAGUAGGGAAUCUUCCGCAAUGGGCGAAAGCCUGACGGAGCAACGCCGCGUGAGUGAUGAAGGUCUUCGGAUCGUAAAACUCUGUUAUUAGGGAAGAACAAAUGUGUAAGUAACUAUGCACGUCUUGACGGUACCUAAUCAGAAAGCCACGGCUAACUACGUG